CGAGCGAAGCGUAUUAGCGGAAGUUUUCGGAUGGAAGCGGAUAUGACUUAGCGGCGGACGGGUGAGUAACGCGUGGAUAACCUGCCUCAUACAGGGGGAUAACAGCUAGAAAUGACUGCUAAUACCGCAUAAGCGCACAGGACCGCAUGGUCCGGUGUGAAAAACUCCGGUGGUAUGAGAUGGAUCCGCGUCUGAUUAGCUGGUUGGUGAGGUAACGGCCCACCAAGGCGACGAUCAGUAGCCGACCUGAGAGGGUGGCCGGCCACAUUGGGACUGAGACACGGCCCAAACUCCUACGGGAGGCAGCAGUGGGGAAUAUUGCACAAUGGGGGAAACCCUGAUGCAGCAACGCCGCGUGAGUGAAGAAGUAUUUCGGUAUGUAAAGCUCUAUCAGCAGGGAAGAAGAAAGACGGUACCUGACUAAGAAGCCCCGGCUAACUACGUGCCAGCAGCCGCGGUAAUACGUAGGGGGCAAGCGUUAUCCGGAUUUACUGGGUGUAAAGGGAGCGUAGACGGCUGUGCAAGUCUGAAGUGAAAGCCCGUGGCUCAACCGCGGAACUGCUUUGGAAACUGUAUAGCUUGAGUACUGGAGAGGCAGGCGGAAUUCCUAGUGUAGCGGUGAAAUGCGUAGAUAUUAGGAGGAACACCAGUGGCGAAGGCGGCCUGCUGGACAGAAACUGACGUUGAGGCUCGAAAGCGUGGG
RNAcentral lists this ribosomal RNA (703 nucleotides) under uncultured bacterium. RNAcentral's name for it is "bacterial SSU rRNA". It matches the Rfam family "Bacterial small subunit ribosomal RNA", at positions 58 to 765 of the family's 1533-position model. The record is from RNAcentral.